ACCGUACUCCUACGGGAGGCAGCAGUGGGGAAUAUUGCACAAUGGGCGGAAGCCUGAUGCAGCGACGCCGCGUGAGGGAUGACGGCCUUCGGGUUGUAAACCUCUUUCAGCAGGGAAGAAGCGCAAGUGACGGUACCUGCAGAAGAAGCACCGGCUAACUACGUGCCAGCAGCCGCGGUAAUACGUAGGGUGCGAGCGUUGUCCGGAAUUAUUGGGCGUAAAGAGCUUGUAGGCGGUUUGUCGCGUCUGCUGUGAAAAUCCGGGGCUCAACCCCGGACUUGCAGUGGGUACGGGCAGACUAGAGUGUGGUAGGGGAGACUGGAAUUCCUGGUGUAGCGGUGGAAUGCGCAGAUAUCAGGAGGAACACCGAUGGCGAAGGCAGGUCUCUGGGCCACUACUGACGCUGAGAAGCGAAAGCAUGGGGAGCGAACAGGAUUAGAAACCCCGGUAGUCCUUGAC
Molecule: ribosomal RNA, 459 nt
Filed under: uncultured bacterium
Lineage: Bacteria
Description: bacterial SSU rRNA
Rfam family: Bacterial small subunit ribosomal RNA
Source: RNAcentral